GACGAACGCUGGCGGCGUGCUUAACACAUGCAAGUCGAACGGAAAGGCCCGCUUGUUGGGUACCCGAGGUGCGCACGGGAGGGGAACAUGUGAGUAACCUACCCUUCCUAUAAGGCUAACUUCAGGAAACGAGGGCUAAUCCAGGAUAGGAUCUUCUGCUGCAUGGUGGGGGUUGGUAGGUAUCGGCGGUUGUGGCUGGGCUCGCGGCUGAUCAGGUUGUUGGUUGGGUAGUUGGUAACCAAGGGUCUGACGGGUAGCCGGCCCGAGAGGGUGACCGGCCACCAUGGGACUGAGAGACGGACCAGUCUCCUACGGGAGGCAGUAGUCGGGAGUAUUGCAGAAUGGGCGGAAGCGUGAUGCAGCAACGCCGCGUGCGGGAUGACGUCCUUCGAGUUGUAAACCGCUUUCGACUGAGACGAAGCGUGAGUGACGGUAAUGGGUAAAGAAGCACCGGCUAACUACGUG
RNAcentral lists this ribosomal RNA (465 nucleotides) under uncultured bacterium. RNAcentral's name for it is "partial 16S ribosomal RNA". It matches the Rfam family "Bacterial small subunit ribosomal RNA", at positions 28 to 507 of the family's 1533-position model. The record is from RNAcentral.